AAAUUGAAGAGUUUGAUCAUGGCUCAGAUUGAACGCUGGCGGCAGGCCUAACACAUGCUAGUCGAGCGGUAGCACAGAGAGCUUGCUCUCGGGUGACGAGCGGCGGACGGGUGAGUAAUGUCUGGGAAACUGCCUGAUGGAGGGGGAUAACUACUGGAAACGGUAGCUAAUACCGCAUAAUGUCGCAAGACCAAAGUGGGGGACCUUCGGGCCUCAUGCCAUCAGAUGUGCCCAGAUGGGAUUAGCU
This 247-nucleotide ribosomal RNA is filed under the name Klebsiella pneumoniae. RNAcentral's name for it is "partial 16S ribosomal RNA". It matches the Rfam family "Bacterial small subunit ribosomal RNA", at positions 1 to 246 of the family's 1533-position model. The record is from RNAcentral. Lineage: Bacteria; Pseudomonadati; Pseudomonadota; Gammaproteobacteria; Enterobacterales; Enterobacteriaceae.